UCUGCAACCCGACUCCAUGAAGCUGGAUUCGCUAGUAAUCGCGCAUCAGCCACGGCGCGGUGAAUACGUUCCCGGGCCUUGUACACACCGCCCGUCAAGCCAUGGGAGCCGGGAGUGCCUGAAGUACGUGACCGCAAGGAGCGUCCUAGGGUAAGACCGGUGACUGGGGGCUAAGUCGUAACAAGGUACC
This 190-nucleotide ribosomal RNA is filed under the name uncultured bacterium. RNAcentral describes it as "partial 16S ribosomal RNA". It matches the Rfam family "Bacterial small subunit ribosomal RNA", at positions 1304 to 1500 of the family's 1533-position model. The record is from RNAcentral.